Molecule: non-coding RNA, 29 nt
Filed under: Mus musculus (house mouse)
Lineage: Eukaryota; Metazoa; Chordata; Mammalia; Rodentia; Muridae
Source: RNAcentral
UGGAACAACAUUAUGAGCUAACCAGUACC